CUGGGUGGAUAGUGGCGAACGGGUGAGUAACACGUGAGUAACCUGCCCUUAACUCUGGGAUAAGCCUGGGAAACUGGGUCUAAUACCGGAUAGGAGCGYCYACCGCAUGGUGGGUGUUGGAAAGAUUUAUCGGUUUUGGAUGGACUCGCGGCCUAUCAGCUUGUUGGUGAGGUAAUGGCUCACCAAGGCGACGACGGGUAGCCGGCCUGAGAGGGUGACCGGCCACACUGGGACUGAGACACGGCCCAGACUCCUACGGGAGGCAGCAGUGGGGAAUAUUGCACAAUGGGCGCAAGCCUGAUGCAGCGACGCCGCGUGAGGGAUGACGGCCUUCGGGUUGUAAACCUCUUUCAGUAGGGAAGAAGCGAAAGUGACGGUACCUGCAGAAGAAGCACCGGCUAACUACGUGCCAGCAGCCGCGGUAAUACGUAGGGUGCGAGCGUUAUCCGGAAUUAUUGGGCGUAAAGAGCUCGUAGGCGGUUUGUCGCGUCUGUCGUGAAAGUCCGGGGCUUAACCCCGGAUCUGCGGUGGGUACGGGCAGACUAGAGUGCAGUAGGGGAGACUGGAAUUCCUGGUGUAGCGGUGGAAUGCGCAGAUAUCAGGAGGAACACCGAUGGCGAAGGCAGGUCUCUGGGCUGUAACUGACGCUGAGGAGCGAAAGCAUGGGGAGCGAACAGGAUUAGAUACCCUGGUAGUCCAUGCCGUAAACGUUGGGCACUAGGUGUGGGGACCAUUCCACGGUUUCCGCGCCGCAGCUAACGCAUUAAGUGCCCCGCCUGGGGAGUACGGCCGCAAGGCUAAAACUCAAAGGAAUUGACGGGGGCCCGCACAAAGCGGCGGAGCAUGCGGAUUAAUUCGAUGCAACGCGAAGAACCUUACCAAGGCUUGACAUGUUCUCGAUCGCCGUAGAGAUACGGUUUCCCCUUUGGGGCGGGUUCACAGGUGGUGCAUGGUUGUCGUCAGCUCGUGUCGUGAGAUGUUGGGUUAAGUCCCGCAACGAGCGCAACCCUCGUUCCAUGUUGCCAGCACGUARUGGUGGGGACUCAUGGGAGACUGCCGGGGUCAACUCGGAGGAAGGUGAGGACGACGUCAAAUCAUCAUGCCCCUUAUGUCUUGGGCUUCACGCAUGCUACAAUGGCCGGUACAAUGGGUUGCGAUACUGUGAGGUGGAGCUAAUCCCAAAAAGCCGGUCUCAGUUCGGAUUGGGGUCUGCAACUCGACCCCAUGAAGUCGGAGUCGCUAGUAAUCGCAGAUCAGCAACGCUGCGGUGAAUACGUUCCCGGGCCUUGUACACACCGCCCGUCAAGUCACGAAAGUUGG
Molecule: ribosomal RNA, 1320 nt
Filed under: Micrococcus sp. IN102
Lineage: Bacteria; Bacillati; Actinomycetota; Actinomycetes; Micrococcales; Micrococcaceae
Description: bacterial SSU rRNA
Rfam family: Bacterial small subunit ribosomal RNA
Source: RNAcentral